AGAGUUUGAUCCUGGCUCAGGAUGAACGCUGGCGGCGUGCUUAACACAUGCAAGUCGAACGAACCUUCGGGUUAGUGGCGGACGGGUGAGUAACGCGUGGGAAUCUGCCCUCAGGAGGGGGAUAACGGCUGGAAACGGCCGCUAAUACCCCAUAUGCCGAGAGGUGAAAUGAAUUUCGCCUGAGGAUGAGCCCGCGUCUGAUUAGCUAGUUGGUGAGGUAAGAGCUCACCAAGGCAUCGAUCAGUAGCUGGUCUGAGAGGAUGAUCAGCCACACUGGGACUGAGACACGGCCCAGACUCCUACGGGAGGCAGCAGUGGGGAAUUUUCCGCAAUGGGCGAAAGCCUGACGGAGCAACGCCGCGUGAGGGAUGAAGGCCUCUGGGCUGUAAACCUCUUUUCUCAAGGAAGAAGAUCUGACGGUACUUGAGGAAUAAGCCACGGCUAAUUCCGUGCCAGCAGCCGCGGUAAUACGGGAGUGGCAAGCGUUAUCCGGAAUUAUUGGGCGUAAAGCGUCCGCAGGCGGCCCUUCAAGUCUGCUGUUAAAAAGUGGAGCUUAACUCCAUCAUGGCAGUGGAAACUGUUGGGCUUGAGUGUGGUAGGGGGCAGAGGGAAUUCCCGGU
This 620-nucleotide ribosomal RNA is filed under the name uncultured cyanobacterium. RNAcentral describes it as "bacterial SSU rRNA". It matches the Rfam family "Bacterial small subunit ribosomal RNA", at positions 8 to 674 of the family's 1533-position model. Lineage: Bacteria; Bacillati; Cyanobacteriota. The record is from RNAcentral.